UACGGGGGGGGCAAGCGUUGUUCGGAAUUACUGGGCGUAAAGGGCUCGUAGGCGGCCAACUAAGUCAGACGUGAAAUCCCUCGGCUUAACCGGGGAACUGCGUCUGAUACUGGAUGGCUUGAGGUUGGGAGAGGGAUGCGGAAUUCCAGGUGUAGCGGUGAAAUGCGUAGAUAUCGAGAGGAACACCUGCGGCGAAGGCGGGUUGCUGGGCUGAUACUGACGCUGAGGCGCGAAAGCCAGGGGAGCGAACGGG
RNAcentral lists this ribosomal RNA (253 nucleotides) under uncultured bacterium. Its description in RNAcentral is "partial 16S ribosomal RNA". It matches the Rfam family "Bacterial small subunit ribosomal RNA", at positions 524 to 776 of the family's 1533-position model. The record is from RNAcentral.